CCUACGGGAGGCAGCAGUGAGGAAUAUUGGUCAAUGGACGAGAGUCUGAACCAGCCAAGUAGCGUGAAGGAUGACUGCCCUAUGGGUUGUAAACUUCUUUUAUAUGGGAAUAAAACGUUCCACGUGUGGGAUUUUGUAUGUACCAUAUGAAUAAGGAUCGGCUAACUCCGUGCCAGCAGCCGCGGUAAUACGGAGGAUCCGAGCGUUAUCCGGAUUUAUUGGGUUUAAAGGGAGCGUAGGUGGAUUGUUAAGUCAGUUGUGAAAGUUUGCGGCUCAACCGUAAAAUUGCAGUUGAAACUGGCAGUCUUGAGUACAGUAGAGGUGGGCGGAAUUCGUGGUGUAGCGGUGAAAUGCUUAGAUAUCACGAAGAACUCCGAUUGCGAAGGCAGUUCACUGGACUGCAACUGACACUGAGGCUCGAAAGUGUGGGUAUCAAACAGGAUUAGAUACACCGGUAGUC
This 460-nucleotide ribosomal RNA is filed under the name uncultured bacterium. RNAcentral's name for it is "partial 16S ribosomal RNA". It matches the Rfam family "Bacterial small subunit ribosomal RNA", at positions 338 to 795 of the family's 1533-position model. The record is from RNAcentral.